CUAAUACCGCAUAAGCCCACGGCUCGGCAUCGAGCAGAGGGAAAAGGAGCAAUCCGCUUUGAGAUGGCCUCGCGUCCGAUUAGCUAGUUGGUGAGGUAAUGGCCCACCAAGGCGACGAUCGGUAGCCGGACUGAGAGGUUGAACGGCCACAUUGGGACUGAGACACGGCCCAGACUCCUACGGGAGGCAGCAGUGGGGAAUAUUGCACAAUGGGGGAAACCCUGAUGCAGCGACGCCGCGUGGAGGAAGAAGGUCUUCGGAUUGUAAACUCCUGUUGUUGAGGAAGAUAAUGACGGUACUCAACAAGGAAGUGACGGCUAACUACGUGCCAGCAGCCGCGGUAAAACGUAGGUCACAAGCGUUGUCCGGAAUUACUGGGUGUAAAGGGAGCGCAGGCGGGAAGACAAGUUGGAAGUGAAAUCUAUGGGCUCAACCCAUAAACUGCUUUCAAAACUGUUUUUCUUGAGUAGUGCAGAGGUAGGCGGAAUUCCCGGUGUAGCGGUGGAAUGCGUAGAUAUCGGGAGGAACACCAGUGGCGAAGGCGGCCUACUGGGCACCAACUGACGCUGAGGCUCGAAAGUGUGGGUAGCAAACAGGAUUAGAUACCCUGGUAGUCCACACCGUAAAC
Molecule: ribosomal RNA, 628 nt
Filed under: uncultured bacterium
Lineage: Bacteria
Description: bacterial SSU rRNA
Rfam family: Bacterial small subunit ribosomal RNA
Source: RNAcentral